Acipenser ruthenus (sterlet) is the source of this 323-nucleotide long non-coding RNA. RefSeq lists it as uncharacterized. The transcript has 3 exons. NCBI's taxonomy places the organism in Eukaryota, Metazoa, Chordata, Actinopteri, Acipenseriformes, Acipenseridae. The record is from RefSeq and is a predicted model, not a curated record.
GUAACUUCCCUUCAUCUGUUUCUCUAACUUUCCCAGGUUUCUCCAACCGUUUUUCUCAGCCACUUCCUGGUCCAGGUUCUCAGGCAACACAAUCAGCAUUGGUCUCUCCUGCACUAUGCAGGCAACAUACCUUUUAUAGGGCAGUUAGUGGUUUAAUGAGUGUGUCACCUAGCCUUGGGAACAGUAAGCAGUCCAGUGGACCUAAGCGACCAGAACAGGGGUGUAAGUAUGACGUCUAGACUACACCAAGGAGCCUGUUGGACACCAGAAAGGACAGAGGACCACACUUAUCGGGAGCAGCCUUAAUCAAAAAAGCACCAGAA